UGGGGAAUUUUGGGCAAUGGGCGCAAGCCUGACCCAGCGACACCGCGUGGGGGACGAAGGCCCUCGGGUCGUAAACCCCUGUCAGGAGGGACGAAGCUGCAAGGUGACGGUACCUCCAGAGGAAGCCCCGGCUAACUACGUGCCAGCAGCCGCGGUAAGACGUAGGGGGCGAGCGUUGUCCGGAAUUACUGGGCGUAAAGCGCGUGCAGGCGGUCUGCUAAGUCCUGUGUAAAAUCUCCCGGCUCAACCGGGAGGCGCCGCGGGAUACUGGCGGGCUUGAGUGCAGCAGAGGAAAGUGGAAUUCCCGGUGUAGCGGUGGAAUGCGUAGAUAUCGGGAGGAACACCAGUGGCGAAGGCGGCUUUCUGGGCUGUAACUGACGCUGAGGCGCGAAAGCGUGGGGAGCAAACCGGAUUAGAUACCCGGGUAGUCCACGCCCUAAACUGUGGACACUAGGUGUGGGGGGUAUCGACCCCCUCCGUGCCGAAGCUAACGCAAUAAGUGUCCCGCCUGGGGACUACGGCCGCAAGGUUA
RNAcentral lists this ribosomal RNA (532 nucleotides) under uncultured bacterium. RNAcentral describes it as "bacterial SSU rRNA". It matches the Rfam family "Bacterial small subunit ribosomal RNA", at positions 355 to 896 of the family's 1533-position model. The record is from RNAcentral.